GUUGCCUUUCCGCCAUGGCCGAGCGGGGGGCCUGGCCCCGCGGGUCUGCGGGGAGCCGGCGCUCGGAUCCCUCGCUGCGCAGAGCAAACCGUGAAACCUGCGCCUGAAGAGGGCUUGCUGAAACAAUCAGUAUUUUUAUUGCGAUAGCUCGGGCUUUUGAGUGGACCAAAGUGCUUUCGAUAAGGGGAAGCGUAGAGAGUGCCUGUCGGGGAGAGUGGGGAGAGGCCUCUUGAACCCAGCGUGGCUGGGGAAAAUGGACCAACGCGUUUGACCAGGGCAGGGUCAAUUGGGUCCCAGCAUGUUCCUGCUAAGANNNNNNNNNNNGAGACUGGGAGAGCCUUGGAUUUGGGCCAGUUCUGGUUUUGAGGACUGCAGUUCUUCUGUAAAAUGUCAAGUAGUAGCUGUGGUAAUCCCAUUUGAUUUUUUUCACUUGGGUUCCUUCUGCCCAGGUUUUGUUGAGUAGUAACUCUGCCAGGUGUCUCUCAGGCAUCCUGCCCGCCCUUUCCCCAGUGCCCUGGCUCAUGCUGCGCUUCUGGCUGCUGGUGAAGCUGCUGCGCCAGUCUCCACCGGCCCUGCCACACGGCUGUGGGCAGCUCAGGGAAACGUGUUCACGAUGCUGCAGUGCACUGAGCGAAAGUCCUGCAAGGUGGUGGCGGUCCCCUUCUGAUGGAAGAAUGGUUGUGCUCAGGCAGUUUGGGCUGCUUCUCUGGAAGAAUUAUAUCCUGCAGGUAAGCUGGCACUGUGCUUGCAGCAGAGGAACUGCCUAUGUCAUCAUCCCUUAAAGGUGAUCCCUUCAGAACUUUCCCAAUGUCUAGAUUUCCUAGUGAACAUUUUCUGUAGGCCCAGGAUGGAUCUAUUUGUGUGCAUGGUAUCUUUUGUGCUUUUGUGUCAGUGAGAGAUAGACAGGGGUCUGUGCUCAAUUACCUGGUGUCCCUGUCCCCUCAAUUGCAAUUGCACAAUUUAUCAGUUCUCCUCACUUUCAAAAUAGGGCUGUGAGUUCAGUUUUCCGUUCUCAAGGAGCAGGAUAAUCCCUGCGCCCUCCUGUGCAACCAUGGGUUUCCCUGAGCUAUCUUAUUCCAUAGAUUCUUUUACAUCCUUCUCUGGAGGUGGUGAUGCUGUGCAGCGCCUAUAAACUUACCAGGAUCCAAGUGCUUUUUCUCCAUUACUUUUUGCAUUCUUCAGAAGUAACUUUUAUGGGUCUGUGGGCUGCCUUAAACCACCUUUGUCCUGGCAUCUGCUCUUAUUCCUGCUCUGCGCUUGGGAACUAGCGAGUUAUGAAGUACUUAGGGACGUU
RNAcentral lists this long non-coding RNA (1294 nucleotides) under Struthio camelus australis. RNAcentral's name for it is "lncRNA (ENSSCUG00000006537.1)". The record is from RNAcentral. Lineage: Eukaryota; Metazoa; Chordata; Aves; Struthioniformes; Struthionidae.